UGCCAGCCGCCGCGGUAAGACGAAGGUGGCGAGCGUUAUUCGGAUUUACUGGGCAUAAAGCGCGCGUAGGCGGCUCGGUCAGUCGGAGGUGAAAGCCCACAGCUCAACUGUGGAACUGCCCUCGAUACUGCCGAGCUUGAGUGCAGGAGAGGUGACCGGAACUCCAGGUGUAGCGGUGAAAUGCGUAGAUAUCUGGAGGAACACCAGAGGCGAAGGCGGGUCACUGGACUGCAACUGACGCUGAGGUGCGAAAGCUAGGGGAGCGAACAGGAUUAGAUA
This 279-nucleotide ribosomal RNA is filed under the name uncultured bacterium. RNAcentral's name for it is "partial 16S ribosomal RNA". It matches the Rfam family "Bacterial small subunit ribosomal RNA", at positions 506 to 784 of the family's 1533-position model. The record is from RNAcentral.